Molecule: ribosomal RNA, 418 nt
Filed under: Trapezicandona sp. 2 IK-2017
Lineage: Eukaryota; Metazoa; Arthropoda; Ostracoda; Podocopida; Candonidae
Description: partial large subunit ribosomal RNA
Rfam family: Archaeal large subunit ribosomal RNA
Source: RNAcentral
AUAAUAAUUUGCCUCUUAAUUGGAGGCUAGAAUGAAGGGUUUUAUGGAAAAUGACUUUUUUAGAAGAAUAUGGUGAAAUUAAGUUUUGUGUAAAAAUUCACAAAUGACUUCAAGGGACGAGAAGACCCUGUGGAUUUUUACUUAUUCGAAAUUUUAAUUUUAUAAUGGUUUAUUUUUUUUAUAGGUUUGGUUGGGACAACAAUGAAUAUUUUUUAUUAGAGUUGAUUGACGAUUUGAUCCUUUUUAAGGAAACAAGAAUGAAUUACCCCAGGGAUAACAGCGUAAUAUUUUUGGACAGGACAUAUGGAUAAAAGUGUUUGCGACCUCGAUGUUGAAUUAAAAUGUUUGUAUUAAGUACAAGUAAUAAGAAAAAGUCUGUUCGACUUUUAAAAUUUUACGUGAUCUGAGUUCAGACCGG